GACGUAGGGCGCAAGCGUUGUCCGGAUUUAUUGGGCGUAAAGAGCUCGUAGGCGGCCUGUCGCGUCGUCCGUGAAAACCUGGGGCUUAACUCUGGGCGUGCGGUCGAUACGGGCAGGCUGGAGGCAGGUAGGGGAGAUCGGAAUUCCUGGUGUAGCGGUGAAAUGCGCAGAUAUCAGGAGGAACACCGGUGGCGAAGGCGGAUCUCUGGGCCUGUACUGACGCUGAGGAGCGAAAGCGUGGGGAGCGAACAGG
This 253-nucleotide ribosomal RNA is filed under the name uncultured bacterium. RNAcentral's name for it is "partial 16S ribosomal RNA". It matches the Rfam family "Bacterial small subunit ribosomal RNA", at positions 524 to 776 of the family's 1533-position model. The record is from RNAcentral.